GACGAACGCUGGCGGCGUGCUUAACACAUGCAAGUCGAACGCUGAAGCUCAGCUUUUGUUGGGUGGAUGAGUGGCGAACGGGUGAGUAACACGUGAGUAACCUGCCUCCUUCUUUGGGAUAACGCCCGGAAACGGGUGCUAAUACUGGAUAUUCACUGGUCUUCGCAUGGGGGCUGGUGGAAAGGGUUUUUCUGGUGGGGGAUGGGCUCGCGGCCUAUCAGCUUGUUGGUGGGGUGAUGGCCUACCAAGGCUUUGACGGGUAGCCGGCCUGAGAGGGUGACCGGUCACAUUGGGACUGAGAUACGGCCCAGACUGCUACGGGAGGCAGCAGUGGGGAAUAUUGCACAAUGGGCGAAAGCCUGAUGCAGCGACGCCGCGUGAGGGAUGGAGGCCUUCGGGUUGUGAACCUCUUUCGCUCAUGGUCAAGCCGCAACAAUGGUUGUGGUGAGGGUAGUGGGUAAAGAAGCGCCGGCUAACUACGUG
RNAcentral lists this ribosomal RNA (483 nucleotides) under uncultured bacterium. RNAcentral describes it as "partial 16S ribosomal RNA". It matches the Rfam family "Bacterial small subunit ribosomal RNA", at positions 28 to 507 of the family's 1533-position model. The record is from RNAcentral.